CGCAAGCCUGAACGAGCGAUGCCGCGUGAGUGAAGAAGGCCUUCGGGUCGUAAAGCUCUGUUGCGGGGGAAAAAAGGCAGCAUCAGGAAAUGGGUGCUGACUGAUGGUGCCCCGCCAGAAAGUCACGGCUAACUACGUGCC
Molecule: ribosomal RNA, 141 nt
Filed under: uncultured bacterium
Lineage: Bacteria
Description: partial 16S ribosomal RNA
Rfam family: Bacterial small subunit ribosomal RNA
Source: RNAcentral